RNAcentral lists this ribosomal RNA (512 nucleotides) under uncultured Bacillota bacterium. Its description in RNAcentral is "bacterial SSU rRNA". It matches the Rfam family "Bacterial small subunit ribosomal RNA", at positions 394 to 896 of the family's 1533-position model. The record is from RNAcentral. Lineage: Bacteria; Bacillati; Bacillota.
CGACCGCGUGAGCGAUGAAGGCCUUACGGGUCGUAAAGCUCUGUUGUUAGGGAAGAACAAGUAUCGGAGUAACUGCCGGUACCUUGACGGUACCUAACCAGAAAGCCACGGCUAACUACGUGCCAGCAGCCGCGGUAAUACGUAGGUGGCAAGCGUUGUCCGGAAUUAUUGGGCGUAAAGCGCGCGCAGGCGGUCCUUUAAGUCUGAUGUGAAAGCCCACGGCUCAACCGUGGAGGGUCAUUGGAAACUGGGGGACUUGAGUGCAGAAGAGGAAAGCGGAAUUCCACGUGUAGCGGUGAAAUGCGUAGAGAUGUGGAGGAACACCAGUGGCGAAGGCGGCUUUCUGGUCUGUAACUGACGCUGAGGCGCGAAAGCGUGGGGAGCAAACAGGAUUAGAUACCCUGGUAGUCCACGCCGUAAACGAUGAGUGCUAAGUGUUAGAGGGUUUCCGCCCUUUAGUGCUGCAGCUAACGCAUUAAGCACUCCGCCUGGGGAGUACGGCCGCAAGGCUG